UGUGUCUUCAUGUGUACAGCAGCGAUAAUAGUACCUCCGUGUAUAAUGCUGCUGUCAGGCUGACUGUUGUGAUUGGUGGGGAGAGAACAGAGCUGCGCUGCACCCAGAACCUCAGGAAAUGGCACCUCUUUGAAAGGCUGUUCCCGUGGGUGCCCUUGACUCCUGAGCACGCUGGGGUUAGGGUACCCACCGCCCUGGAAAUCGAAAAAUUAUCAAAAUGUUCACCAGUGAUGUUGGUGAUUAUGCCCAAGACUCAGAAAAAGCCAAUAAAGUGGUUCAAUAAAACAUCAACUUCAGGUAUGUUCCUCUGCUCUGUGCGAGGCAGCCGAGUGAACACUCUGGAGAUUUCCAUUGGCUGAGCCUGUCCCUGGCCAUCCCAGGGGCCAAAGUGUUUCCUAACUUUAAAAGUAUAAUCACAGAACCAGCACCCGGCAUAACAUAAACUGUUCAUGUAUGUAAAUCAGUACCUUCCCCCUUGUCUGUCCCUUCUGGAGGUGAAACAGAAUUCUCAUUUAUUCUCUUUUGCUCUGUGGAUAAAGUAAUUUUUUUCUCGUUAUAAAAGAAAGAAUUCUGAUUCUCGGCCUUGGAACCAGCUGAAGAAUAGACCUGAAUAUGCAGAGCAGAGUGGGGGUGAAUGGAGUGAAAUUCUGCUGAAUUCACAGCUCGAGAUUCUCCCUCCGAACUUCGGAUGAAGCUGCCUAUGGAUGUGCUGCCCUUUCUCCUUUCCAAACGGGGUUGUGUAGUCUGUCUCCUCACCACUACACAGCAGAGGGUGACACCACCUAUUAAGUCUCUCUUGGUUGUCAUCAGUGAGGGGGCGGCUGGCUCUGGACUUGCUCCAUGCUGGUGGCUUCAGAACGAUGUGGUCUCUUUAAAGGAACACAGGGGAGGAAGAGAGUGAGUGGACAGCAGGUUGACUUUCUGCUGUGCACAAAUCAGCCCCCAGCUGAAUGGGGUGUGUCGAUUCCACCCACCAGCAUUGCUUGUCCCUCUUCUCUGCCACGUUGGAAGAUAAAUCGAAGCCACCUGUGGAAGGAGAGCGCCUAUGAAGAUGAGGUAUCAUCAUUACCUCAUUCUGAGCACCCUUCUGCCAAGUACAUAGAGGAAAAUUAUUAAUCACCCCUUACCUGGACAGUAUAAGUAUCGCGUCUGCAGCUGUGAUCUGCCGAUGAUUAAAAAGCACUCAUUCCACCGACGGUGCCGCCAGAUCAUUGCACAUCCUUGAGGAGCAUCACUCACAGGCACUGCUCCUUGACAUCCUUCACGACCCAGCCGAGGUACCCAGAAGGUCUUUAACGUACUCGAACGAAGCAGCCGAGUGAACGCUUAGCCCCCUCUCAGGGCAGCCCAGCUCUGCCUGCACCAGCACGAGAGGCCACCUGGACAGGA
Molecule: long non-coding RNA, 1389 nt
Organism: Artibeus jamaicensis (Jamaican fruit-eating bat)
Lineage: Eukaryota; Metazoa; Chordata; Mammalia; Chiroptera; Phyllostomidae
Exons: 5
Source: RefSeq, a predicted model, not a curated record